GUCACAAUCAGCUGUAUCUAAACAGAGCAGAGCUCAGGUGACAUCACAGAACAGGCAGAGGCAGUUCAGGGGUAUUCUGGUUGCCUUACCCAGCUCUGAAGUCUGUCAGCCUCUUCAGAUGUCACUUGCCAUGUGGUAAGGAAGUGUAGUCAGCAGCUGGUGCAGUGGGAAGAAGAGAAAGGAAGUUCCCCAAGACAAAAACAUCUCGGCAGACUUCAUCAUGAAUUCAUGGCAUCACACAGUCCCCUGAUGCUAUAACAUCAUGGAUUUCUUUUGUCCAGUGAGAGGCCCAAAAGCUGCAGCAUAGACAAUAUCAUAGUGUAGAAGGUUCACUAGACCGUGAUCAUGGGCUACAUUCUCCGUACCAGCUUCAUAGCUCCAGUGAGAAAAUAAAUUCCUGCAUCCAGGAGAUGUGGAGUAAGAGAUACAGCUGCCCUUGACCAUAUUUCUUACUUCCGAGAAGAUCGUAGCAGUAAUUCAGAAUCUCAUCCAGGAUACCUCAUCACAGGCUGGAGUGCAGUGUCAUGAGCUUGGCUCACUACAGCCUCCAUCUUCUGUGCUUAAGGAUCCUUCCCUCUCAACCUCCAAGGUAGCUGAGACUACAGGCAACAUUCGAAACCCAGGUGCCACUCCUUCAGGAAGGUACCAUCAAGCUCCAAGGACUCAUCCUCUUUCUCCUUCCCCACUACCUAGUCAUUAGAGCGUCAGCAUCCACUUCCUGAAAGGAAGAUGCCUGUUUUUCACAUAUCCCAGAAAGCCUCAUUUUAGGACAGCAUUUAGCAGAGUGUAUUCAGGAUCCCACUAACCUUUUCGGAAGACAUGACUUCCAGAUGAUAUAAGGCAAGAAUAAGAAAUUUCAGUGACAGGGAACAGAAAUCAUAUUUCUGCAUUCAGGAUCAUGUUUUCUUGGCUCCAUCAGGAACUGUGCAGGACUGUGCACUCUGUUGAUACUCACAUGGUGGAAUUAUAUUGCCCUUGGCCAACCCUAAAGCCAUCAAGAUAGCAGGUUUGGAAUAAUUCACUGUCGAAGUCUUCUUGAGCUGAGCAGUCAUGUGAGCUUGGAAGAUGAUCCCUCUCCAGCUGAUCCUUCAGCUCAGGCCAUCAUCUACAUCUGGAUUCCUGACCCGGAGAAACUAUGAGUAAUGUGUGCUGCUUUUGAGCCACUAAGCUACAUGAAUUAAUGAAGGAUCAUUAUUAAGUUUUUAAUGGGUCAAGAGAAAGUUACCACUGAGGUCUUCUCUACCUGGGCAACAAUUGACUCCUAACAACCACUAUAAGCUUGGAAGAUGAUCCCUCCCCAGCUGAUCCUUCAGGUCUCUACUUUUUGUAGCCUGGGGAUUUUCUACUCCCCCAACAGCCAGAUGAGGCAGAAACCCCUACAGACAUCCCUAUGUGCCUCCUGUGCAAGUGCAGUUGCCCCUUGAAGGCAGUUCUCCUGCUGCAGACCACGCCCACCAAGGGCAGAGUCACAGCCACUGCAGCUGAGCUCAGAGCCUUCUGUGGGGUCUGCAGGGGCAAGGCCAGCUGUCCCCUGGGAUAGUUUGAAGAAUGCAGUUUGUUUGUAUAAUAAAGAUGUUUCUCUACGUCAUUCAUCUUGCUAAUCAAGGACGUUUAACAGCUUCAGACUUUCCUGGUAAUAUUUGUUCUUGCCUUUUUUUGGCAAAUAUAGUUAACACUUCUAUGCAUUUUUUACCUCACAUAAACAUCAUCUAAAACCAUUCAUAUUUCUGUAUUGCGUAUUAAUGCUUUUCAUUCCUGUAUAUAAAAAUGCAUUCAUAAUCGCUUUUCAAAAUACAUUUUCAGUUACCUUUUCA
This 1814-nucleotide long non-coding RNA is filed under the name Homo sapiens (human). Its description in RNAcentral is "HSALNT0379881". Lineage: Eukaryota; Metazoa; Chordata; Mammalia; Primates; Hominidae. The record is from RNAcentral.